RNAcentral lists this unclassified non-coding RNA (204 nucleotides) under Hevea brasiliensis (rubber tree). The record is from RNAcentral. Lineage: Eukaryota; Viridiplantae; Streptophyta; Magnoliopsida; Malpighiales; Euphorbiaceae.
GAUAAUGGUUCUGCAAUCACAACAAAAUGCAAAGUAGAUCAUUUACACUUAUUUCAAGUUCAAAUAUAAUUUCUCCAAUUAACAGCAAGAACGAUCCAAAGCUUACAACUACCCAUGAAAUCUUAUGCAGCCUUCCAAUGAAAAUAAUAAUUCCAGAUAACCAACCAAAAAGAUCCCAUGAGAUAAAAUUAUUCAGUUGUCAUU